AGCAGUAGCCGCGGUAAGACGAACCGUCCGAACGUUAUUCGGAAUUACUGGGCUUAAAGGGUGCGUAGGCGGCCCUACAAGUCAGGUGUGAAAUCCCACGGCUCAACCGUGGAACUGCGCUUGAAACUGUAGGGCUUGAGGGAGAUAGGGGUGAGCGGAACUGAUGGUGGAGCGGUGAAAUGCGUUGAUAUCAUCAGGAACACCGGCGGCGAAGGCGGCUCACUGGGUCUCUACUGACGCUGAGGCACGAAAGCUAGGGGAGCGAACGGGAUUAGAUACCCCUGUAGUCCCUGUCUCUUAUAC
This 303-nucleotide ribosomal RNA is filed under the name uncultured bacterium. RNAcentral describes it as "partial 16S ribosomal RNA". It matches the Rfam family "Bacterial small subunit ribosomal RNA", at positions 507 to 807 of the family's 1533-position model. The record is from RNAcentral.